CCUACGUGCGGCAGCAGUGGGGCAUAUUGGGCAAUGGGCGCAAGCCUGACCCAGCAACGCCGCGUGAAUGAAGAAGGCUUUCGGGUUGUAAACUUCUUUUAUUGAGGACGAAACAAAUGACGGUACUCUAUGAAUAAGCCACGGCUAACUACGUGCCAGCAGCCGCGGUAAUACGUAGGUGGCAAGCGUGAUCCGGAUUUACUGGGUGUAAAGGGCGUGUAGGCGGGACUGCAAGUCAGCUGUGAAAGCCAUGGGCUCAACCCAUGGCCUGCAUGUGAAACUGUAGUUCUUGAGUGGUGGAGAGGCAGGCGGAAUUCCGGGUGUAGCGGUGAAAUGCGUAGAUAUACGGAGGAACACCAGUGGCGAAGGCGGCCUGCUGAACAUUAACUGACGCUGAGGCGCGAAAGCGUGGGGAGCAAACAGGAUUAGAUACCCUAGUAGUC
RNAcentral lists this ribosomal RNA (443 nucleotides) under uncultured bacterium. Its description in RNAcentral is "partial 16S ribosomal RNA". It matches the Rfam family "Bacterial small subunit ribosomal RNA", at positions 338 to 795 of the family's 1533-position model. The record is from RNAcentral.